This is a long non-coding RNA of Mesocricetus auratus (golden hamster), 1409 nucleotides long. RefSeq lists it as uncharacterized. The record is from RefSeq and is a predicted model, not a curated record. The transcript is spliced from 3 exons. NCBI's taxonomy places the organism in Eukaryota, Metazoa, Chordata, Mammalia, Rodentia, Cricetidae.
GACCUUCGGAAGAGCAGCCAGUGCUCUUAGCCUCUGAGCCGUCUCUCCAGCCCCCCCCCACACCACACUUCUGAAAGACAGUCAUCUCAAACCGCUGGGAAAAUGACCAAGGAUGGGGUAACAGAUUUUGAAGAGAGAAGCUAUAGUGGCGGGGCCGGAGACAUUCAGAAGCGUUGUCAGCCUCCCCUCCUGAGUGCCUGUCACUUCCCUGUAGCAGAGGGAUCUUCAAAGUCAGCUCUGAGGGUGGAAAGAGAAGAGGCUGCUCCAGGGCUAUUUACAGAUUCAGACUGAAUCCUCAGGAGAGCGUCCGUGUAUAGUCACGAGCCAGGAGCGUGUGCUCAGAAAGGGCCUCGUUCUGUUUUGGGAAGUGACGUCCGGGAAAGUAGUCAUCACAGCUCAGAGCACUGUUUCUUUGGGAGACGUCUCUGGAAGUGGAAACACUGAGUCAAAGACCAUGAAUAUAUUAAAGGCUUGUGAUUAAAAAAAGCAAACAGCCAAAGGGAGCUUUCAGCCCAGUGUGCACAAACCUCUGGUGCCCUGUCCCUCAGGGUGGGAGAGCUGGCCGACAGAGGUGAGCCGGGUCACAGUAGGAGGCAUCUAUACCUGGAGUCCACGCCACGUAGACCAUCGGGGAAGGUUGUCUUCUUCUACCAAGCACGGGGCCUUCACUCCUUCCCUGGACACAACCCUGAUGGAGCUGACACAGACUGGGAGGACCACGCAGGGUCCAGCGCCUUGGAGCGUCGGCUAGACGUGCCCGACAUUCCCGAUGUUGCCGUCUGCAGAAUCUUAAGACCCCUCACAAUGUUUUGAGUAGGUUUGUGAUUUCUCGCUGGGUCGUUUCCAUGUCCCCAGUGACAUCCACAGCUGUCCUUGUCUGCACGUGAAGCUGAGGGUUGGGCGCUCCCGUCACCCUAACCCACUAAGUCCCGUUUCCACAUCCUUGUGUCACAUUUUACUGUUCGAAGCUCAUUCCUUUUUUUUUUUUUUAACCUCAAAUGACACAAGGAUGCUGGUAUUGUCAUUUUUAUUUUUCCUGUUGGCUUCCCGUAUCACCGCCUGCGUGCCAGACCUUUACUCAAGCAGAUUUCUAAUGACACGCCCUUCUCCAGCAGCCUGCCAUGAAUCCCUCUCCCCCGAACCUCUACCUCAGGGUCUUCUGCUGGGGACCGGACCCAAGGCGGCAAAAACCUAAAGUUUCCUUCUUUGAGAGAGCCCAACUUCUGAUCUCUCUGCUGCCACCUUCCAGGUGCUGGAUUUACAGGUGUGUGCUACCACGCUCGGUUUGUGUAUGCCAGUGGUUGAGCCUAGGACUUCGGGCACGCCGGGCAAGGACUCUACCGACUGAGAUGUGUUCCCAGCUAAUAUUUUUGACUUACCAAUUUUAAAAACAUAUUUUUUGGAUGAAA